RNAcentral lists this long non-coding RNA (440 nucleotides) under Pongo abelii (Sumatran orangutan). RNAcentral describes it as "lincRNA". Lineage: Eukaryota; Metazoa; Chordata; Mammalia; Primates; Hominidae. The record is from RNAcentral.
CUCUAGUGGGCGUCUUGGGCCCGGGCUCUAUUCUGGGCUGUGGGCCUGGGAAGGGCUCGCCGGGUGCCAAAUGAGCUGUCCUAACUCUGCGGGGCUGCAGCUUCCUGCAUGAUGUUGUGGAGCUUGGCGCCUGACCCAGGAUAUAGAAGGCACUCUGGGCAGGCCGCGCUCCGCCCACGAAGGUUUAACCACCAAGGACUCUGAGAGCUGGCAGGUCUGAGUAACCCUGGUAACAAUUCUCUUCACCUUAUCAAAACCUGAGCUAAAACCAAUGCAUCAGCUGAUGAUGACAGCAGAGAGUGGCAGGGCUGAGGACCCAAUAUUCAUUUCCCAGGCUGGCGGAGAAUAAACUGCCAGGGAGAAGAAUGAGAAGACAGGAGACAAACUGUUUGGAAAGCUAAAUCUUCCCUCUUAAUGAGUAAAGGUUUUUGCCUUGUCUU